This 253-nucleotide ribosomal RNA is filed under the name uncultured prokaryote. RNAcentral's name for it is "partial 16S ribosomal RNA". It matches the Rfam family "Bacterial small subunit ribosomal RNA", at positions 524 to 776 of the family's 1533-position model. The record is from RNAcentral.
UACGUAGGGUGCGAGCGUUAAUCGGAAUUACUGGGCGUAAAGCGUGCGCAGGCGGUUCGUUAAGUCAGAUGUGAAAGCCCCGGGCUCAACCUGGGAACUGCAUUUGAAACUGGCGGGCUUGAGUGUGGCAGAGGGGGGUGGAAUUCCGCGUGUAGCAGUGAAAUGCGUAGAGAUGUGGAGGAACACCGAUGGCGAAGGCAGCCCCCUGGGCUGAGAUUGACGCUCAGGCACGAAAGCGUGGGGAGCAAACAGG